This 748-nucleotide long non-coding RNA is filed under the name Fukomys damarensis (Damara mole-rat). Its description in RNAcentral is "lncRNA (ENSFDAG00000031859.1)". Lineage: Eukaryota; Metazoa; Chordata; Mammalia; Rodentia; Bathyergidae. The record is from RNAcentral.
UUUUACUUAUAUUAAAGAAAUAACAAAGCAGCAAGAAAAAUACGAGAUGCUUUUGGUUAAUGAUGUCGCAGCAGCUGGGCUGAAAUGUCUUUUCCAGUUUUCCUGAACACUUAUGAUUGAACCAAGUACAGUUAUUUUCAGUAAGCAUGAUCCACUAAUCACAUGUACUUUUAAGUAUAUUUUCUGUUGCAUUUAUUUCUAUUUCACUUUGGUUCAAAAAAGAUUUAAAGGAUGCAUAAAAGAAAUAAUUACAUAAAGUUAAGACUAAUGAGAAAAAGACACUAAAUGAUUUAAGGAGUAUAAAUUGCAGAGAGGACUUCAAGGGUUCCAGGACUGCAGUUUUCUGCAGUAUCAUCAGGGGAUUGGUUCCACAAUGCCCACGCAUCUAAAAAUCCACAGAUGUCCAAGUCCUUCAUAUAAAAUGACGCAGUACGUCCUCCUGUGGAAAGGAAAUCAUCUCCGUAAUUGUAAUACCUAAUCCGUACAAUGUGGAUGCCACGUGAGUAGUUGUCCUGCUGUCCCGUUUAUAGAGUAAUGAUGAGGGAAAGGUAUAUGUUCACCACAGAUGUCUUUCAAUCCGCAGUUGGUGGGUGGUGACCACGAUUUCAGAAGGCUGAUGGUGCAGACUGGCUUGUGUUCUUGCAGCUCCUGGCCCACUGAGGAUGUCCCUCAUGUGGAAGCCACAGCUGUUCCUCCACAGCCCAGGCGGGACAGAGUGGGCAGCUCAUCUCUCCUCACACCCCUGUGA